Molecule: RNA transcript, 4185 nt
Organism: Drosophila willistoni
Lineage: Eukaryota; Metazoa; Arthropoda; Insecta; Diptera; Drosophilidae
Gene: syd
Gene name: JNK-interacting protein 3
Exons: 17
Source: RefSeq, a predicted model, not a curated record
GUUGCUGUUUGUUGUUGGUGGUGGCGGUGGUGCUGGUGCUGGGGUUGCCUUUGCUGCAUGCAUAACGGUUAACGCGUGACGUUAUAAACCUCCUUCCAUCCCCCCUCCGACAAAGCAACAAACACUUGCUCCACGCUCUCUUCAUUCAAUGAAAAUUUGCUUGAAAUAGACCGAGAGAAAGACAGAGACAUAGAGACACCGAAAGAGAAAGCAACAUCAUGAUGGAUGACGAUGAUUCAAUGCUCAAUAAUGGACCACAGCCUGGUGUUGAGACGGUCUACGGCACCGAGGAUAACAAUAUGGUCAUGUCAGAGAAGAAUGAACAGGUUGUCAGCAUUGUUCAACAAUUGGCUGGUAGCAUUUAUCAGGAAUUUGAACGCAUGAUCAAUCGUUAUGAUGAGGAUGUGGUGAAAAAUCUGAUGCCAUUGCUGGUGAACGUGCUGGAGUGUCUGGAUGCUUCCUAUCGCAUCAAUCAAGAGCAGGAUGUCGAAGUGGAAUUGCUACGGGAGGACAAUGAACAACUGGUCACACAAUAUGAGAGGGAGAAAAGUGCACGUAAACAGUCCGAACAGAAGCUGCUGGAGGCGGAGGAUUUGGCCGAACAGGAAAACAAAGAGUUGGCCAAUCGUCUGGAAUCAUUGGAGAGCAUAGUGCGUAUGCUAGAACUGAAGCAUAAGAAUAGUUUAGAGCAUGCCAGCCGUUUGGAGGAGAGAGAGGCUGACCUGAAAAAGGAGUACAACAAAUUGCACGAGAGGUAUACGGAACUCUUCAAAAAUCAUGUUGAUUAUAUGGAACGAACCAAAAUGCUAAUGGGUUCCACACACUCACAAAUGAGCACAGCCUCUGAUCGCAUGGAAGUCAGUCGAGCUCGCCUUAAUCCGGUGGCACGUAGUUCAGGUCCCGUUUCGUAUGGCUUUGCUUCGCUAGAGAACUCUGUGAUGUUGGAUACGGAAACCAUUUGCAGUGUUGGUAGUCAAUCGGACGAUGAUUCAGGGCCGCCAUCGUUGCAAAAUGAGUUGGAUCAACUGCAGGCGACUGCUGGUGGUAGCCGAGAUGGUCUAACAAUUGAACGUGGAGCAGCCACCGAUGCACUACAGCAACAACAUCAGGCCACUUCGCCAAACAGUCCGCUCAAUGAUGAUGACAGUAGUCCCAUUGUGCCAAAUGUACCCGCAAAUGUUGGUCGUUCCACUACCAAAAAGGAGCAACGCACGGAUAAUAAUCUAUACCAAGAGUUAUCCUUCCAGGAUAACGAAGAAAGCGAAGAGAAUGAGAUUGUAACAGGCAGUUGGGUACAUCCCGGAGAAUAUGCAUCCUCAGCUAAUGACAACUAUUUUGGCAUGGGCAAAGAGGUGGAGAAUCUAAUAAUGGAAAAUAAUGAACUAUUGGCAACCAAGAAUGCCUUGAACAUUGUCAAAGAUGAUUUGAUAGUGAAAGUGGAUGAGCUCACUGGGGAGAUAGAAAUCGUUCGUGAGGAGCUUAAUGCCAUGCAACAGUCGAGGACCAAAUUGAGGCAACGCAUUAGUGAGCUAGAAGAUGAGCUAAAGAAGGUCAAGGAGCAGGUGAAACAGCAAAACUCUGAGCAGGAGGAAAAUGAUGUGCCCUUGGCUCAGCGUAAACGUUUCACUCGUGUUGAGAUGGCAAUGGUGCUAAUGGAACGUAAUCAAUAUAAGGAGAGGCUAAUGGAGCUCCAAGAGGCAGUGCGUCUAACGGAGAUCCUAAGAGCUUCACGCACUGUAGAUAAUUUGGAUAAGAAAUCGAAGCAAAGCAUUUGGAAAUAUUUUAGUAAUCUUUUUACCCCCUCCAAUCGUCCAACGGAACGUGUAGCCGAUGGACUAGGAGGGGGGCCUAUGUUUCGUCACACCGGCGGAGGAAGCCCUAGCCACAGCCAUGGAUCCCCCAGCCGAGGUGGGGGAGGAGGUGGAGGAAGUGGCGACAAUCGCCUUGCCCUAACUGCUGGAUCACAUCCACCACCACAUCCAGCCAGUGCGGGAUUAGCAAAUGCUUUAAUAGCAGCCAAAGAUUAUGCCGAAGAGGGCAGCUCGGAGAGAAUAAAUGCGCGUCGUCGUGAACAAUAUCGUCAGUUGAGAGCGCACGUUCAGAAGGAAGAUGGCCGCCUGCAUGCCUAUGGAUGGAGCCUGCCCAUCAAUAGCAAGACAGGAGGAGUUGGCAAUAAUCAGGACAACAAUCAAUCGAAUCCCAUUCGACAUUCAGCUGGAGGUGUUCCAGUGCCCGUGUAUUGCAAUCCCCUUGCUGAGGCUUCACCGCACAUGAAAGUGUUUUGUGCCGCUGGCGUUAAUCUUCAAGGGGGCUUCACCAAAGAUGGUCAAUCAUUGAUACCUGAUAGUUCACCUUACGCUCCCAAAUCCACGCUUAAGAUAGCUGAAAUCACCAGCCCCACGGCCGAUAAGAGUGUCGAGGCGCUGGAUAGACAAAUGGCGCGGGCCAGUUUAGAAUGCCUCGAACCCGAGACACAAUUGAGUUCAUUCGUUUGGAUCUGUACGAGCACCCAUGCUGCCAGUACGGUCAGUGUUGUGGAUGCCAAUCAAUCGGCAACUGUUCUCGAUGCAUUUCCAAUUUGUUCAUCGCAUUUGCUCUGCAUAGCCUCGGUACAGGGGGCCAUGGAGACGGAUUAUGCUUUGCUCGAGCAGAGCGAGGUGAUCAAAGCGGGUGAAAUGCUUCAAAGACCCGGCGAGGGAUCAGAGCUUCUUGGCAAAGUUGAAUUUGUGAGAGUGAAACCCAAAUUGAAGACAGAUGACGAUGAAAUUGUGCAAGAUCAAAAUAGCAAUAGCCAAGAAGAAGAGCAAGCUAAGGAGGCGAAUGAGCAGAUGCCAACGAUUGGCGAUUCGCAAGAACCAUUGGGUAAUGUGGAGGCCAUUAAAAUACGUCAGGCUCUACCUGGAGGGCCACAACGUUUAUCCACCACAAAUGGCAAUCAGCAGCAGAUGACCAACAACAACAAUCAGAUAACAUCUGCCACAGCCACAAUUAACAACUCCACAACUAACACGACCACCAACUCCUUUACUUCUGCCAUCAAUCCGAUACUCGAUACAAAAGAUCGUGAUGAACCUGUGAUGUCAUCGGUGGGACCGACAAUGUGGUUAGGUGCCCAAGAUGGUUGGCUUUAUGUGCACAGCAGUGUGGGGCAAUGGCAUCAAUGUUUGCAUCGCUGCCUCCUGCCUGAUGCCGUCCUAGCGAUUGUCCAUGUUGAGUCGCGGGUUGUCGUUGCACUGGCCAAUGCCCAAUUGGCUGUGUUCCGCCGCCAAACAGAUGGCCAAUGGGAUCUGAAUAGUUAUCAUCUGGUUACGCUCGGUGAUCGCAAUCAUUCGAUACGUUGCCUCUGUGUGGCCGGAGAACGCAUUUGGGCAGCGCAUCGCAACAAGAUCUUCAUUGUGGAUCCCAUAUCUCUCAAUAUUGUGCACUCGCUGGAUGCGCAUCCGCGCAAAGAGAGUCAAGUGCGUCAAAUGGCAGCCACUGGCGCUGGGGUAUGGGUAUCAAUACGUUUGGACUCGACUUUGCGUCUUUAUAAUACGCAUACAUUUGAGCACAAGCAGGAUGUGGAUAUUGAGCCAUAUGUAUCAAAAAUGCUUGGUACUGGCAAAUUGGGCUUUAGUUUUGUACGCAUCACAGCAUUAAUGGUGUCCUGCAAUCGCCUAUGGAUUGGCACUAGCAACGGUGUAAUUAUAUCAGUGCCAUUGGCCGAAAAUCUUCAUCAGAAACCAUCAUCGGCAUCGGCCGAUCCUCAUGGUCAGAUGCCUUUGUGUUGUAUGGCAAAUGCUCAAUUAUCGUUUCAUGGUCAUCGUGAUGCUGUUAAAUUCUUUGUCUCUGUACCAAUGCUCCAGCAACCGAGUGCCGAGGCAUUAACUUUCACCAACAAACGACCCGAUAUGCUAGUUAUGUGCGGCGGUGAGGGUUAUAUCGAUUUUCGCAUUAGACAUGAUAAAUUCGAUGCUAGUGAUAAUGCUGCUCAUUUGAUAGUUUGGAAAGUCGAUACUACCUUCAAUUUGUAGAAGAUCUUCGCAUACGGAUUGCAGACGCUGAUAAGAAAUUCAGUCUCCCCCUCUCCUUCUAAGAUGACAAUGACAUGGAGAACAGUAUUCAACUGGAACCAAAUCAAACAAUUGAAAAUCGAGGCGAUAAAAGUUAUUUGAUUGUGUGGCAUGUUAGUCAACGUUAAUUCUA